RNAcentral lists this transfer RNA (74 nucleotides) under Methanosphaera sp. SHI1033. RNAcentral describes it as "tRNA-Lys". It matches the Rfam family "tRNA". From Rfam's summary of the family: Transfer RNA (tRNA) molecules are approximately 80 nucleotides in length. Their secondary structure includes four short double-helical elements and three loops (D, anti-codon, and T loops). The record is from RNAcentral. Lineage: Archaea; Methanobacteriati; Methanobacteriota; Methanobacteria; Methanobacteriales; Methanobacteriaceae. RNAcentral also lists the same sequence under 1 other name.
GGGCUCGUAGCUCAGUCUGGGAGAGCGCCUGGCUCUUAACCAGGCGGUCGCGGGUUCAAAUCCCGUCGGGCCCG